This 1264-nucleotide long non-coding RNA is filed under the name Homo sapiens (human). Its description in RNAcentral is "HSALNT0377475". The record is from RNAcentral. Lineage: Eukaryota; Metazoa; Chordata; Mammalia; Primates; Hominidae.
UCUGAGAUGUAACAAUUAGUUUUAGGAAGUGCCUACUUCUGUGAGCAAAUAAUCAAUUACCUGUCAUAGCAGCCACUCUUUCCUGAAACUGCCUUCCAACCAGGUGUGCAGUUUCUGAAAUUCUACCAAUGGCUUUACUUCCUCCAGGUGUCUUCUGGAGGAGUAAGGAACCGUGACCAGACAGACACAAAUACAUAUGGCCAUUAGUAAUAUCAUUACCAAGCUAACUACAGGAAUCCAGGGCAGUAUGCAGGCAUAAGAGGUCCAGGAAGAGCAGAACAGAAGACAGUUGUGUGGAGAGCAAGUGAAGAGAGGCACUGAAGACAAACUCUCCCAUCCUUCUGACUUUACCUGGUCCCAGUCCUGGGAGGUGGAACUGAUGGGAUUAAUAAGAAACCAGGCAUGAGAAGCCAUGCAGAUGUAAAUUUGGAAAUCAACAUAUUGAUAGUUGGAGUCACUGGAGUAGGAUGUCUGCCAGCUCCUCUCCAGCCACCCAUUCUCAUAGCGGGUGAGCCAGACCACAUCUGCUAAUCCAGGAGCACAGCUCAGGACUAGUCUAUGCGGAUGGAAUCUCUCUCCAGCCUUUUCUCUAUGUCAGUUUUAUCUACCUGGCAAGAAAAAACAAAAACAACCCCAAAACAACCCCUCCCCACAAACACAACACAAAACAAGGGACUCGAAAAGUUGGAGAAAACCUUUUAAUGUGUUUCUGUAAAAUCCUUUCUUAGGAGGUUUAGUACAGGUACUACCCAUCAGCAACUUAGCCGGCCAGGUGAGUUGGUGCAGAAGGGCUUCGGCUGAAUUUAUACCAGAGCCAUCGGGAGUGACUUGGCCACCUCUCCCAAUUACCACAAGGAAGUCUUAAAAUUGAAUUUCAGUUUCAGCAGAUACUUCAGAUUUACCUGAGCAAUAUCAUAGACAAUGUACUCAUUAUAUAGUAGACAAGUGUCAUUCACACCAGAUGAAAUCCCAGUCCCAAGAGGAACCUCUGCACCAUCCAGAGUAAUACUAGCUGAAGGGUCAGGGGUAGUUUUGCCCAAACCUUUGACACUGUGCUUGCCCUUGGGUAACUUGCUGAUAUGUGAAGCGUGCUUCAGUUCAUACAUUUUCCAAGGGCAACUUCUCCCAACAGGAUUAAGCCUGUUGGGCCUCCCUGAGAUGUAUGGCAGUAGUUGGCACUCUUGGAGGCCAUGUCAGCGAAAUAGAUCCCUUUACCAAACAUGUAGCCCGUCAUGGGCACUUCAGGCGGGGCUAUCCAAAGACC